This 1703-nucleotide long non-coding RNA is filed under the name Mustela putorius furo (domestic ferret). Its description in RNAcentral is "lncRNA (ENSMPUG00000026353.1)". The record is from RNAcentral. Lineage: Eukaryota; Metazoa; Chordata; Mammalia; Carnivora; Mustelidae.
AAAAAAUCAGUUUGUAGAAAAGUGAAGUUAUUCUCUAGGUUUCAGAAUCAUAAAAUUCAGACAAAAACUUAAGCAAUCUUAUUUACAUGGAGAAUUUAUUUAAAGCUCUAACGUAAAAAAUUUUUUAAAAAAUAAUCAUUGUGUUGAAGUGUUGAAGUCAAACAGUUAGGGUUUUUCUUUGUUUUUACAAAUAUGCUGAUAUAGAUAGGGAAUUAUAGAGACCCCAAAACCCCGAUUUAUAUCAGUGGUUUUCCGUGUAUGUCUUUUCAGUAUGGGAAAACAUUGAAAAAAAAUCAGUUCCUCAGCUGAAAGCAGUAAGGCAUCAUAUUCUGUAGUGCAUUGCUUAGGGUCACAGAUAGAUUGCUGAUGUAUGAUCAAUGUCUAUCAAAUAUCCAUGGCACUUUAUAAAAAAAAAACACCAAGACAUUUUUGUGUCAAACGUGCAUUCAGUGAAAAUAAAAACACCUCCAUGAAUUCCUAGUUUGCCAUUUCCUUUUUGCAGCACCGGCCUUACCCUAUGUCACACCGGAAGACUACUAGCAGAAUUCUUCUCAUCAGGCCGUGCAACCUUUGCUGUAAUUGGUGUCACAGCCAAUGAUCCAAUAUUCCGAUAAGAGUGAAACACAGAAAUCAGAUAAUGAGAGAGACUCAAUCCCAGGACCCCGGGAUCACAACCCGAGCCAAAGGCAGACAGACGCCCAGUGAUGGAGCCACCCAGGUGCCUGAUGGAAUUAGGCUUUUCUUGAUGGGUUCAGGACAUUCUACCCCAAAAUAUGGACACUUGACAUACUGAAGAUUUGAAGCUGAAGGAAUUUGAGUAAUGGCAUAAGCAGAAAGAAUUUUCUUUGCCCCAAAGCAGGUCAUAAAACCUAGGAAAGACUUUCUGACCUACAUGUGAAGCAGGUCAGAGGUGUCCUCCGUAUCCCAGAGGAAAGGAGCAUCCUUAUCUCCAAAGAUAAAGGGACACUUCGUGAAGUCUGAACACCUUGCUAAGUCUCCUCCAGUUUGCUACACUCAAACUCUUCGUCCUCUGGUGUCUUGCCACGACUUUUCACUGUCCCUCAUACUUAGUCUGAAAACACGCAGGCUUCACCAAUUCUUCACAUCUUCAUUUUGUGAAGAUGCCCAUGUUGCCUAAACUUUAUAUUAAAUAAAUUUGCCUUGUUGGUUUAAAGGGAGUCACUAGCCCAAAUUAAGGGGAGGAGAGUGUCAAAGAAUUCUGGAUAUGUUUUAUAAUCACCAAAACCCCUUCAUCCAGCUCUUCGCUUAGUUGUACUCUCCUGUUAAAUUCCUAAGGCCAGCCACAUCAAUGCAGUUGACUUCUGUGACCUCCAACCCAGUCCCAACUGCCAUCACCCGUCACCUGGGCUCCUACUCUUCUUUCUUCUAACCUUGUCCGGAGAAAAAUCCGUUCUCCGUGCAGCAAGGAGACAGUCUGCACCAACCCCUGAUUAAAUCCCCUCGUUACUUCCCAUCACUCUUAGAAUAAAACUAAAGCUCCCUACCUAUAAGGCUGAAAUGGUUUUCUUUCUUUCUUUCUUUCUUUUUUUUUUAAGAUUUUAUUUAUUUAUUUGACAGAGAGAGAGAUCACAAGUAGGCAGAGAGGCAGGCAGAGAAUGAGAGAGAAGCAGGCCCCCCGCUGAGCAGGGGCUCCAUCCCAGGACCCUGAGAUCCUGACCUGAGCCGAAGGCAGAGGCUUAACC